RNAcentral lists this long non-coding RNA (5861 nucleotides) under Sus scrofa (pig). Its description in RNAcentral is "lncRNA (ENSSSCG00000055630.1)". The record is from RNAcentral. Lineage: Eukaryota; Metazoa; Chordata; Mammalia; Artiodactyla; Suidae.
AAAGGGAAAACAGAAUUUGGGGAGAGUGGAGGAUGGGAGGACGGAGGCCUCAAAGAUGAAACCAACCUUUAUGGGUACCUGUCUGAUGCAGUUUUGUUCUUAGAGACGAGUCUCCUUUGAACUCCAAAAGAAUUGCUUUUUUUUUUUUUUUUUCUCCUGUGAAGUGUUUGAGGUUUUCUCAUUGUAGGAUCUAAAUCAGGAUAAGGUAGAACUUUCAAAUUGGCAUUCAUUCUUUUUGAUGGAAUUCAACUUGGGUAAUUGGUAAUGAAUGGGACUCUUAAAAACUGGUGUACUUAGCAUAUACAAAACCCCCAUGAACAACAUUUAACCAGCCACUGUCAAGCAGCUAAUUGUGCUCUGAGCACUUUACUAAAGAAGUAAUAACAGACAGGUCUUUGGCCCAUAUACACCUCUGGGUUUUUGUUUGUUUCUUUUUACAGUGAGCUGGGUGCUGAUUCAUCAAAUUGCAUAAAAUCCUCAGUUAAUCAACAACUGGUGAGUGACUACAAUGAGUGACUACAUAGAGGACAGAAACAAAUUGACACUUGACUGAUCUCUUCUGUCACCAUGAGUUGCUUUGCCUUGUGCAAUCUCAGAGCACCUGUCUUGACCAAUAUUGUAUACUUAUCCAUUCUGUCUGGUACUGAAGUACCAUGUUCCCUUAUCUAUUUCCUCAAGUAGAUUUUGGAGCCUCUGAAGGCAGGGAGAUUUUCCUUCUUAUAUUUGCCAAAGCAUUCUUAUAAUCCGUACUACAACCAAAAUUCCCAUCAUGGCUCAGUGGAAAUGAAUCUGACUAGUAUCCAUGAGGAUGCAGGUUCGAUCCCAACCCCACUCAAGUGGGUUAAGGAUCCAGCAUUGCCGUGACCUGUGGUAUAAGUUGCAGACUCGGCUUGGAUCUGGUGUUGCUGUGGCUCUGGCAUAGGCCAGCGGCUAUAGCUCGGAUUCAACCCCUAGCCUGGGAACCUCCAUGUGCUGAGGGUGCUGCCCUAAAAAGACAAAAACAAGCAAACAAAAAAAGUACUACUACCUUGAAGGGAGGCAAAAUUCGUGUGCAUUAAAAAAAAUAAUAAUUCAGGGUAAAAAAAAACCUCAAGUGUUCGAUGUGUGCAGUUCAGCCUGAAAAGGCCCUGGAAGACCAGAGAAGAGAACCACAUUGAGCAGCUGUGGCAGGAUUGUGGUAAAGAAAGCAUGUGUGCUCCCUAUUUUUGAAGGAGGUCAGGGCAGGUCCGGGAAUAGCAGAAGGACUUGUCGGACAGGGGACAAAAUUUACCAAGGCUGGAGGGAAGAACAUGACAUAAGACAUACCUGGAAUAGAUUCAUCUUCCAAAACCAUGGUUUGGUUACCUGAGCAACACAGGUUCCCAGCCACAUCUGCCACCUACACUAUAGCUCACAGCAACUCCUGAUCCCUAUACCACUGAGUGAGGCCAGGGAUUGAACCCAUAUCCUCAUGGAUACUAGUCAGGUUCGUUACCACAGAGCCACAACGGGAACUCCAGCAAUAGCUUUUAAAACCAUUUUUUCAGAGAAGCAGGAUACCAGUUAUCCUUUUUUGAUGGGGGAGGGUGGCUGCAGGGCAUGUGGGACCCAUCUUGGUGGCCAUCACCUCACCAAUUUGGGCAGCUUCUAAGGCCUAUUGGCUCAUUGGCUGGACCCGUGCAUUAGAAAUGCACUGACCUAGGGCACUUCUAAAGGCCUGGAUGAGAGGCCAUGUCCUCCUAGGUGUCAGUGAACCACAGUUUGUGUGGGAAAGUUGGAAACCCGUGUGACUGGAGGAGAGGGUUGCUGGUGGCAAGCAGUGCACGCAGGGGCUGGGCCCGACAUACAGGAAGCCCUUGGGAAAGUUUCUGUCGUGUCUGUGGAAGCGAGCUGUUGUAGACUGGGCAGGUGCCAUCCACAUGGUCAGAGAGGCCUCUACCAGUGCUUAGACGUGAAGUGUAGAGCCCCCAUAGACCCUUCCACAGGGGAGAGACAGGAUGAGCGUGGAGUUCUGGGAAGAGGAGUUCGGCAGACAACUAGAUUCCUCACUUAACUCAUAUUUUCCUUUUAGUUAGGAUAUAGUCUGGAUAUUGCAUAUUAGGGAACUAUCAUAGUUUUCUAAGGUGAAAUAUGGUAUUGUGGUUAUUCUCUUGGAAUAUGUGCUAAUUUUUUUUUUUAAGAGAUGAAGGAUUGUGAGAGCUGCAACUUAUUUUCAAACAAUUCAUAUAUAUGUUUGUGUGUAUAUAUAUAUAUAUUCCUAUAUCUACAUCUGAAUUGUUUGAAAAUAAGCAUAUAUAUUGUAUAAUAUAUGUGUGUACACCAUUUGUACACAUAUAUUUAUCUAUAAAGAGUCAACAACAAAUAUAGCAAGAUGAUCAUUGUUGGGUCUAGUAGUGGGUAACAGUUAUUCCUUACAUCAUAAUGAUAAUCACACAUAUUAGGGAAGUACUUACUCUCUGCCAGAUUAUGUAAUAAACAAUUCAGGCUUUGUCCUCAGCUUCUGAGUGGUAGUUUUUAAACCCUUGGUAUUUCCCCAAGUGAAGAGAGUGUCUGUUAUUCAGGGUGGGAUGCUGGGCCAUGUGAUUUCAGUCCAAACUUGGGGUGGGGAGACUGAAGACCAAGUUCAACCACAUGCACAAUCCAUCAAUCAAACAUGCCUGCAUAGAAGUUCUCUUGGGGUGAAUGGGUUAAGGAUCUGGCAUUGUCACUGCAGUGGCUCAGGUCGCUGCUGUAGUGCAGGUUUGAUCCCUGACCUGGGACCUUCUACAUGCCUCAGGUAAAGCCAAAAAAUAGUAAUAACUAUACAAGGAAGCCCCACUAAAAACUCUGCACACCACAGCUCAGAUGAACACCCCAGGAUCCUGUUUAUUGUCAGACAUCAAUAUAGGGCAUUAACACUUACUGAGGACAAUGAAAGCCUUGCUUUUGGAACCCUCCUAGACUCUUCCCUACAUGUUUCUUCCUUUAGCAGGUUCCAGUUUGUAUCCUUUCUCUGUAAUAAACUGUAACCAUGAGUGUAAUGACCUUCAGUGAGGCCUGUGAGUUCUUAGAGGUUUAUCCCAUUAUCAAAUCUGGAGUGGCUUUGAGAACUCCCUGAAACUGCCCUUGUUCAGAAGUUAGUUUGGUGUCAGAAGUGGGAACUGUGUUGGGGACUGUGCCCUUGGGCUGUUCAUUUUGGCUAAUCCUUCAUACUUUGUUUGAAUAUUUCCUACUCAUAACAUGAACAUUAAUGAGUUGUCAUAGGACCUACUGUUUGCCCUUUUUAUGGAUUAGAAAAAUUUAGGAACAGAUAAUUCCCCUGCCCAAGGUUAUACAUGUGCAAUAGUAAAUGGUGGAGCUAGAAUUUAACCCUUGCCAGGCUGCUCCAGAACUUGUGCAUCUUGCUGCAAAGGAAAUAAGCUUAUCCCAGGGAUAUUAGUGAAGAGAAUUCCAGAGUAGGUAGGUCCAGGUUGGGUCCUGUCUCCUCCUUUCUCUAAUUGCAGGUCUGUAGAAUAACAAUAAACCUUCAGAAUGAAGACCCCGAGGCAUAGCAAGACACCAAGCCCUGAAAGAAAGAUUUAGUGAUGUUUAAUACUACACACUUUGUUUUCUAAGGUCAUUAAGUGGACUAAUUAAUUUUGUAAAGAAGUCCAAGGGUUCUAACAUAAUGGGCUUUCUCAUAGACUUUUCCCUUGUCCAAGUAACAAGACCUCCCCAUUCUCUAGCCAUCCCAGUUAAUAAGAGACUUGCUAUAAAAUCUCAGUGGCAUGGAAAAAAUGCUUUAAAAGAGAGAGCAGCCCCACACCUCUCUCCACUAAUUGAUAGUUGACAGUCAUCCAGAUCUCAAUGGCAUGUGCUUCAGAAUUCAAAAAUAAGGGUGGUAAAAAUGUCAAUACUUUAAAGAAAUUAUAUGAAGGAAGAAGAUCUAUCUCAUAAGUGAAGCUCAUGAAAACUCCUCUUUUGCAAAAUUCAAAAAAACUCCAAUAGGAAAAGUUUAAUUUGAACAGGCUACAAAUGCCAAUACUUUGCCAGUACUUUGGUAAUUUUGUAAACCCUCCAGCUAAAUGUGCAUUAAAUGUUCAUCAAAUUGUCACAAAAGCAUCCAGAGAGAUAGUGCUAUAUAGAUGCCAGCAAAUGCUGUGAGUGGUGCUCUGCAGUGGUCAUGAAGUUGGGCAUUUGCUCUUUGAAUAUAUAUGUUGAUAUGUGAGCAAAUGCUCUGACACAGGUUGUGAAGAUGCUGUUCCUCCUUUGCUACUUCCAGAAGCCUGAAGGUUAGCAGUUCACUAGUAGGGGGAAUUUAGGCAACACCAAGAGCACAUAAACAAUAACCAAGAGAAAUCCAAGAGAUUAAAUCUCUGGUGUUGCUUUAUUCUGCUCACGUGAGCCUCAUGGGCAAAUGAAUCUCUAAGAGGCUUUAGUUUGCUCUUCUGUGGAAUUCUCUAAGUGGCUUAUGGUUCCCCUGCAAUAAACAAACCCCCCAACUCCAAACCUUGUAUUUGACAUAAUGCUUUGCUCUGAUUUCUGCUAUAGUUGUUUUCCAAAUUUUAUCAAUGGUCAAAAAAAUUUUUUUUUGGUUUCAGAACAUAAUUAUUACAGUCCUAAAAUGUUAUGUAUGAAAAAAAUGAAGACGAGAGAAAGAAAGGGUGGAAGGAAGGAAGGGAAAAAGAAAGAACCAUGAACCUUAACCAACAGAAAAUAGGAAACAGUGUUACAUGUUUUUCCUCAUCUCUAAAAUAAAAAUAAUAAAAUAAAAGUGCCAAUCUCACAGAGUUGUUAUGAGGAUUAAAUGAAUUAAUAUUUUUAAAGUGCUCAGAACAGUGCCAGGCUGUAAACUAUAUAACCUCAUUUAAAAGAAGUUUUUAAACACAAGUAAAAGAAACUUUGCAGGCACAAGAGGAAUAAAGUUAGUGAGAAUCAGCAAAGCCACCUUUGUCUUCCUUCUGAGUAAUUAAGUACCACAAGGCAGUUCUGGAAGCAGGCGGAAUUGAGGUAUAGUGGGAGAAAUGUGUUUCUAGCAAAUCUCAGCUAAGUGUUAUCCUUUGGUUUAUUUUCAUUAUAUGAGUUUUUGAUUGCUGCAUACUUUGAAGUUUGUCUCAAGGGAAAAAGUUGAAUUGGGACUCUUCGUGACUAGAAUCUUUGGCCUGGAAGGUUGGCGCCUUCAACUGUUUCUCUUGCCAAGCCUGUGAGAUUCUGUUCCUGUUCCAAAAGCUGACAGGAGCUUCCUUGCAAAUUUUUCUGAAAGAAAUGAAUGAGACUCUACUCCAACAGAUUUCUGCCUUUGUGGGCCCUUAACUAGCCUAAUUAGCUUGGUGAAUGAAUAGUGCGAAGGCAGAAUGGGCAGUGCAGCAGGCUCAGCUCUAGGGGUAGUGAUGCACGAGGCCCAACCGAUCACGGGGCAGGAACCCUCCUGUAGCCGGUCAGGAAUGCUUGAGAAAGGCGGCCUUGAAGAUUCUGCAGGAAAGCUGCUGCUGUCUUUUUGCUGAUUCCACAGGAAUGUGGGUUUUGAACUUUGAGUCCAGCAAAACCAUCUUUAUACCCAGAAAAAGCUUCAUAAUGGCAAACCUAGUGAGCAUAAGCUGUUACAUCAUUUACACUUUGGGACAUAAAAAAAGAAAGAAAAAUUUAAGGCCAUUUUCAGAAGCUAUUUUCUAUCUCCAAAAAGAAAAGUGACUGAGGGUGUUCCUGUUGUGGUUCAGCAGAAAGAAAUCCAAUUAGUAUCCCUGAGGACACAGGUUCGAUCCCUGGCCUCGCUCAGUGGGUUAGGGAUCUGGCGUUGCCGUGAGCUCUAGUGUAGUUUCCAGAUGCAGCUCAGAUCCCGCUGUGGUAUAGGCUGGCAGUUGUAGCUCCAAUUCAACCCCUAUCCUGGGAACUUCUAAAUGCCGUGGGUGAGGCCAUAAAAAGAC